Molecule: ribosomal RNA, 1447 nt
Filed under: metagenome
Description: bacterial LSU rRNA
Rfam family: Bacterial large subunit ribosomal RNA
Source: RNAcentral
UUAUCAGAACUGUAGGGACGCAUGUGGAAAGCACGGGCCGGGAAUGGAAAGACCGGUACAAGCGGGGUAGGUGUACAAUAGGCAAAUCCGUUGUAUAAUCCGAAGACGUGAUGUGGAGCGAAAUAAAGUAGUGAAGCGUGUGAGCCAUGUGCCGAGAAAAGCUGCUAUUGUGUAAUGCGUGCCCGUACCGUAAACCGACACAGGUGGAUGAGGAGAGAAUCCUAAGGCCGGCGGAAGAAGCAUUGUUAAGGAAUUCGGCAAAAUGACCCCGUAACUUCGGGAGAAGGGGUACCUGCGAGAGCAGGCCGCAGAGAAUAGGCUCAAGCAACUGUUUAGCAAAAACACAGGUCUAUGCGAAACCGAAAGGUGAAGUAUAUGGGCUGACGCCUGCCCGGUGCUGGAAGGUUAAGAGGAGAGGUUAGCUUCGGCGAAGCUUUGAAUUUAAGCCCCAGUAAACGGCGGCCGUAACUAUAACGGUCCUAAGGUAGCGAAAUUCCUUGUCGGGUAAGUUCCGACCCGCACGAAAGGCGUAAUGAUUUGAGCACUGUCUCGACAAUGCAUCCGGUGAAAUUGAAGUACCAGUGAAGAUGCUGGUUACCCGCGCCAGGACGGAAAGACCCCAUGGAGCUUUACUCCAGUUUGAUACUGGGAUUCGGUACUGCAUGUACAGGAUAGGUGGGAGACGAAGAAGGAUGGACGCCAGUCUGUCCGGAGUCGCUGUUGGGAUACCACCCCUGUAGUACUGGGUUUCUAACCAGUUGCCAUGAACUGGCAAUGGGACAAUGUCAGGCGGGGAGUUUGACUGGGGCGGUCGCCUCCGAAAGGGUAUCGGAGGCGCUCAAAGGUCCCCUCAGAAUGGUUGGAAACCAUUUUGAAAAGUGCAAAGGCAGAAGGGAGCUUGACUGCGACACCGACGGGUGGAGCAGGUACGAAAGUAGGACUUAGUGAUCCGGUGGUAUAAAGUGGGAUUGCCAUCGCUCAACGGAUAAAAGCUACCCUGGGAUAACAGGCUUAUCACUCCCAAGAGUUCACAUCGACGGAGUGGUUUGGCACCUCGAUGUCGGCUCAUCGCAUCCUGGGGCUGUAGCAGGUCCCAAGCGUUGGGCUGUUCGCCCAUUAAAGCGGUACGCGAGCUGGGUUCAGAACGUCGUGAGACAGUUCGGUCCCUAUCCGGCGCGGGCGGAGGAUAUUUGAGAGGAGCUGUCCUUAGUACGAGAGGACCGGGAUGGACGGACCACUGGUGUAUCUGUUGUCGACCAACGGCAUGGCAGAGUAGCCAAGUCUGGAAGGGAUAAACGCUGAAGGCAUCUAAGCGUGAAGCCCCCCUCAAGAUGAGAUAUCCCUCCUUCGGGAGUAAGACCCCUUGAAGACUACAAGGUAGAUAGGGCAGAGGUGGAAGCAUGGCAACAUGUGGAGCUGACUGUUACUAAUAGGUCGAGGGCUUAAU